Long non-coding RNA from Pecten maximus, 580 nucleotides. RefSeq lists it as uncharacterized. Lineage: Eukaryota; Metazoa; Mollusca; Bivalvia; Pectinida; Pectinidae. The record is from RefSeq and is a predicted model, not a curated record. The transcript is spliced from 4 exons.
AAAAGAGUUGUUAAUUUGUUCUCCAACACAACAAGCCCUGACAGAGACUCAACAAGUGAAAGCUAUCUUCGGAUACAAAGCAAUAAUAAAGAUGCUGAAACUGAUCUUACUCUCCUGCCUUGUGGCCUGUGUCGUGGGUCAAUCAUACCGAUCCAGCAGAGGAAGGGGGGAUUCAUUGCUGUUUGGUGGUAUCCGUGGUAACAGGUGGGCCACAGGAUUGGAUCGCUUGGGGUCGGAUCUCUGGGACAAUGACGCUUGGGAUCGUGAUUCAUAUGGAAACGUCUUGAACCGACGUGGAGGUAGAAUGUGGAGAGGCAGAAGAGGAAACAGAUUCGACAGGAGAAUAGACUUAUUCGACAGGAGAGCAGACAGAUUCGACAGGAGAGCAGACAGAUUCGAUAGGAGAGCAGACAGAUUCAGUAGGAGAGGAGGAUACUGAUGAAAAGACAAACAAGUUUUGAAAAGAUCCGAGUGGCCAAAGAGUGAAAUAGAAAAAUCCAUACCAACCAUUCCAUUGAUACAUUCAUUUGUAAAUUCAUAUCAAUCAUUUUUUUAAUAAAUUAUUAUAUUAAUCAAUUAA